UACGGGGGGAGCAAGCGUUGUCCGGAUUUACUGGGCGUAAAGAGCGCGCAGGCGGUCGUUCAAGUCGAGUGUGAAAGCCCCCGGCUCAACUGGGGAGGGUCACUCGAUACUGAUCGACUCGAAGGCAGAAGAGGGAAGCGGAAUUCCCGGUGUAGUGGUGAAAUGCGUAGAUAUCGGGAGGAACACCAGUGGCGAAGGCGGCUUUCUGGUCUGCUCUUGACGCUGAGGCGCGAAAGCUAGGGUAGCAAACGGG
This 253-nucleotide ribosomal RNA is filed under the name uncultured bacterium. Its description in RNAcentral is "partial 16S ribosomal RNA". It matches the Rfam family "Bacterial small subunit ribosomal RNA", at positions 524 to 776 of the family's 1533-position model. The record is from RNAcentral.